GCGAACGUAGUUCAGUGUGUAGAACAUCACCUUGCCAAGGUGGGGGUCGCGGGUUCGAAUCCCGUCGUUCGCU
Molecule: transfer RNA, 73 nt
Filed under: Streptococcus troglodytae
Lineage: Bacteria; Bacillati; Bacillota; Bacilli; Lactobacillales; Streptococcaceae
Description: tRNA-Gly
Rfam family: tRNA
About the family: Transfer RNA (tRNA) molecules are approximately 80 nucleotides in length. Their secondary structure includes four short double-helical elements and three loops (D, anti-codon, and T loops). Further hydrogen bonds mediate the characteristic L-shaped molecular structure. tRNAs have two regions of fundamental functional importance: the anti-codon, which is responsible for specific mRNA codon recognition, and the 3' end, to which the tRNAs corresponding amino acid is attached (by aminoacyl-tRNA synthetases). tRNAs cope with the degeneracy of the genetic code in two manners: having more than one tRNA (with a specific anti-codon) for a particular amino acid; and 'wobble' base-pairing, i.e. permitting non-standard base-pairing at the 3rd anti-codon position.
Source: RNAcentral